This 254-nucleotide ribosomal RNA is filed under the name uncultured bacterium. Its description in RNAcentral is "partial 16S ribosomal RNA". It matches the Rfam family "Bacterial small subunit ribosomal RNA", at positions 524 to 776 of the family's 1533-position model. The record is from RNAcentral.
UACGUAGGGAGCAAGCGUUGUUCGGAUUUACUGGGCGUAAAGGGCGCGUAGGCGGCAUAUUAAGUCAUCUGUGAAAUCUCCGAGCUUAACUCGGAACUGUCAGCUGAUACUGAUGUGCUAGAGUGCGGAAGGGGCAAUCGGAAUUCUUGGUGUAGCGGUGAAAUGCGUAGAUAUCAAGAGGAACACCUGAGGUGAAGACGGGUUGCUGGGCCGACACGUGACGCUGAGUGCGCGAAAGCCAGGGAGCAAACGGG